Nothoprocta perdicaria is the source of this 296-nucleotide long non-coding RNA. RefSeq lists it as uncharacterized. The record is from RefSeq and is a predicted model, not a curated record. The transcript is spliced from 3 exons. NCBI's taxonomy places the organism in Eukaryota, Metazoa, Chordata, Aves, Tinamiformes, Tinamidae.
GGUGGUGGCAGAGGGGGAUGGGGCUGCUCCUCUGCCUGUGGAAUUGCAGAUUAUUUUGCAUGGAUUGUUGAAGAGAAAAGAGAGCUGCAUUUGUGAAGGGACUAAGGAAUAAGCGGCUCGUUGCUCGGGGAAUGCAGCUGAGCUCCUGGUCUCCCUGUGGCCUUUCACUCGAUGUUGGAGACUCAAAACCAGCUUCCUCAGAAGAGAAACUGCAGCUCCAAGUUAGGAGAAUAAUACCAAGCCUGAAUUAACCAAGGGGAAAGAAACCCCUGAGCGCUGUGAGAAGAAGCAGAAUA